Molecule: ribosomal RNA, 253 nt
Filed under: uncultured bacterium
Lineage: Bacteria
Description: partial 16S ribosomal RNA
Rfam family: Bacterial small subunit ribosomal RNA
Source: RNAcentral
UACGGAGGGUGCAAGCGUUAUCCGGAUUCACUGGGUUUAAAGGGUGCGUAGGUGGGUAUUUAAGUCAGUGGUGAAAUCUCCGAGCUUAACUCGGAAACUGCCAUUGAUACUAUUUACCUUGAAUGCCCUGGAGGUAAGCGGAAUAUGUCAUGUAGCGGUGAAAUGCUUAGAUAUGACAUAGAACACCAAUUGCGAAGGCAGCUUACUACGGGGUGAUUGACACUGAGGCACGAAAGCGUGGGGAGCAAACAGG